Molecule: long non-coding RNA, 778 nt
Organism: Cyprinus carpio (common carp)
Lineage: Eukaryota; Metazoa; Chordata; Actinopteri; Cypriniformes; Cyprinidae
Source: Ensembl
UCAUGAAGCCCUUGGCAUUGCUGACACUUCUGCUCAUCACGAGUGGUUCUGCAGUGGGGCAAAUGUUGGAAUCUAAUGUGACUGGCUAUGUUGGAAAGGAUGUACUUUUAUCAUUUAACUGUUCUAAAGACCCUAAAGAGCUGAUAUGGCAGAAAGGUGAGAGAUUAGUGAAUGUUCAUUCACAAGACAAAAUCACCAUAGAUGAUUCCUACGUGGACAGGACACAACUCUUCAUAAACAUGGAGAAGAGAAACUGUUCCCUGCUGCUCCGCAACAUCUCUACAGCAGAUGCAGGACUGUACACCUGUUAUGCCAUAGACACUGUUGAUAACAAGGUCUGGACAAAGGAGUCUACAGAAGUUAAUUUAACAGUGGAGAUCAACCCUGAAAAAAGCGUCCAAACUGAAGAAGAAUCUGACACAGCUGUCCCUGUUAGUGUUCCCAUAGCGGUAGUACUGCUUAUACUGGCUGUUAUCCUGCUUCUAAUCCUACUGAUCAGAAGACAACAUCGGACACGCACGGACACUGAUUUACCGGCUGAGAAACCUAUGCUACAGAAUGUGUGAAGUGCUCUUGCUUGACAGUUUAAUGGACUUACUUCUAUGUUGUAAUGCAAGGUCCUUCACAACAACAACAAUGGACAAUAAGAGGCCUUAGCCCUAAACAAAUGCGUUCGCAUGUGGGCAUUACACAAUGGUGCGUGCUGAUCCGUCUCACUUUGAGACAGAUUAAUGUUCAGUUUUCAGUUGUAACACUGUUACUUGUUUACCACUGAAUU